GCAUCAAACAGGAAUUUGUUAGAAAUACAGAUUCUUAGGCCUUCCACCAGACCCACUGAAUGAAAACCUCCAGGGCUGGAGCCCAGAAAUCUGCAUUUUAAUACACCUUCAGGGGAGACUGAUAC
This 125-nucleotide microRNA precursor is filed under the name Myotis lucifugus (little brown bat). RNAcentral describes it as "miRNA (ENSMLUG00000020328.1)". Lineage: Eukaryota; Metazoa; Chordata; Mammalia; Chiroptera; Vespertilionidae. The record is from RNAcentral.